GCGGUUUUGCAGGCGAUCGCGGCGUUCUGCCUUGAGACGAAAAUCGAAUGACCUAGGUUAUUUGAGAUUUAUCAAAAAGAAAGUUCGCUGAGGAAAGUCCGGACUCCAUCGGGUAGCGCAGGGGUUAACGACCCCCCACCGCAAGGUGAGGAACAGUGGAACAGAGAAAAUGUCCGGGGCAUUGAGCUUAGGGUUGGGAACGGGAAACCUUAAGGGAGCUGCCGGAGUGAAAAUAGCCAAACUCUGCGUGGAGCAAGAACAAAUAGGAGAGCGUUAAGUGCGACCCGCACAUGGCUCUCGGGUAAGUUCGCUAGAGGUCUUCGGUAACGGAGAUCCCAGAGGAAUGAUCACCUCCUGAUUGUGGUGUCGAAUCCACAACAGAAGACAGAACCCGGCUUAUCGCAAAACCCUCGUC
This 415-nucleotide RNase P RNA is filed under the name Deltaproteobacteria bacterium. Its description in RNAcentral is "RNase P RNA component class A". It matches the Rfam family "Bacterial RNase P class A". From Rfam's summary of the family: Ribonuclease P (RNase P) is a ubiquitous endoribonuclease, found in archaea, bacteria and eukarya as well as chloroplasts and mitochondria. Its best characterised activity is the generation of mature 5'-ends of tRNAs by cleaving the 5'-leader elements of precursor-tRNAs. Cellular RNase Ps are ribonucleoproteins. The record is from RNAcentral. Lineage: Bacteria; Pseudomonadati; Myxococcota; Myxococcia.